GAUGAAGAACGUAGCGAAAUGCGAUAACUAAUGUGAAUUGCAGAAUUCCGUGAAUCAUCGAGUCUUUGAACGCGCAUUGCGCCCCCUGGUAUUCCGGGGGGCAUGCCUGUCCGAGCGUCAUUGCAACCCUCAAGCACGGCUUGUCGAAUGGGCGGUUCGUCUGCGGCCAUCCGCCGGAGACGCCCCCGAAAUGCAGUGGGGAUGUUCGCUAAAUCGCAGCGUCAGGAAUGGAAAUAAACAAUGCUGACGGCUCGAUGUCGAACGCCCACCUAAGGCGUGCCGCCCCCCCGGGGUGUGCCGCCCAACCUCUCUCGGUUGACCUCGGAUCAGGUAGGGAUACCCGCUGAACUUAAGCAUAUCAAUAAGCGGAGGA
This 373-nucleotide unclassified non-coding RNA is filed under the name soil metagenome. RNAcentral's name for it is "partial contains 5.8S ribosomal RNA, internal transcribed spacer 2, and large subunit ribosomal RNA". The stretch from base 1 to 120 matches the Rfam family "5.8S ribosomal RNA", at positions 35 to 154 of the family's 154-position model. The record is from RNAcentral.